This is a long non-coding RNA of Talpa occidentalis (Iberian mole), 338 nucleotides long. RefSeq lists it as uncharacterized. NCBI's taxonomy places the organism in Eukaryota, Metazoa, Chordata, Mammalia, Eulipotyphla, Talpidae. The transcript is spliced from 3 exons. The record is from RefSeq and is a predicted model, not a curated record.
CCACGUCACCCGAGCAAGAUGGCGUCCUCUCCACAGAUGGCCGGUCCUCGCCUCCCCGGGGCGAGAACCCCCGCCCUCCAUCAAGGGUGGCGUUAGCCCUCUCUUGAAACCUUUGUAACUGUUAAGGCUGAAGUGCCAUUUAAAGAAAAUAGAAGGCAAAGAAAUGAGCAAUGGGAAGCUAUGUUAUCAGAUGGCUGCAGGAAACAUGGAAAUAUUCUGUCUAUACAAUAAACACUGCUUGAGGCCUCUCCUUCAUCAUCCUACAAACCAAGUGGUAGGAGAACACUGGGAGAUCUCACACCUCCAGUCUGUGCCCAGACCUGCUGUUUACUGGUAGU